UUUCCGUAGGUGGCACGUUUGCCUGCCGGAAGCCCCGCAGCGACUCUAAAGAACUGCCCCAGUCGCCCCUAUCUCCGGGGCUGGCGACGCCAUCAGUCUGCGCUGGGAGGCCCUCUUUCUGGGGUCGAUCAGCAGCUUCAGAACCCCUGGAGUUCACAGAUCAAAUGAUCGCGGCCACGUUCGUGGUUGAGAUAUGACCGGCCUCGGCUGUCACCGGCCAGAGAUUUGCGGAACCUGCGGAAGGAUCAUU
RNAcentral lists this ribosomal RNA (250 nucleotides) under Imshaugia aleurites. RNAcentral's name for it is "partial 18S ribosomal RNA". The record is from RNAcentral. Lineage: Eukaryota; Fungi; Ascomycota; Lecanoromycetes; Lecanorales; Parmeliaceae.